CCUACGGGAGGCAGCAGUAGGGAAUUUUCCGCAAUGGGCGAAAGCCUGACGGAGCAACGCCGCGUGAGUGAGGACGGCCUUCGGGUUGUAAAACUCUGUUCUUGAGGAAGAAUUCCGGUCAGGUGAACAGUCUGACUGGUUGACGGUACUCAAGGAGAAAGCCCCGGCUAACUACGUGCCAGCAGCCGCGGUAAU
This 195-nucleotide ribosomal RNA is filed under the name uncultured Bacillus sp. Its description in RNAcentral is "partial 16S ribosomal RNA". It matches the Rfam family "Bacterial small subunit ribosomal RNA", at positions 338 to 524 of the family's 1533-position model. Lineage: Bacteria; Bacillati; Bacillota; Bacilli; Caryophanales; Bacillaceae. The record is from RNAcentral.